CCAGCAUCUUUGUUGGCACACCGCCUCAUGUCCACCCCCUUUGGAGCUCAGCCUCCUCGCUGACACAUCAUUCAUGUCUGGCUAUGAUACCAUCUGUAACAGCCCAAACCCACUAAUUUUUUUUUUCUUUAUUUGAAUUUUGCAUUUUAAUUUAAUGUGUCUCAAAAUUCGAAAGAAUUAGGGGAGGGUCGUUUCAUUUUUGU
Long non-coding RNA from Cucurbita maxima (winter squash), 203 nucleotides. RefSeq lists it as uncharacterized. The record is from RefSeq and is a predicted model, not a curated record. Lineage: Eukaryota; Viridiplantae; Streptophyta; Magnoliopsida; Cucurbitales; Cucurbitaceae. The transcript is spliced from 2 exons.